AGUGAACGCUGGCGGUAGGCCUAACACAUGCAAGUCGAACGGCAGCACAGUAAGAGCUUGCUCUUACGGGUGGCGAGUGGCGGACGGGUGAGGAAUACAUCGGAAUCUACUUUUUCGUGGGGGAUAACGUAGGGAAACUUACGCUAAUACCGCAUACGACCUACGGGUGAAAGCAGGGGAUCUUCGGACCUUGCGUGAUUGAAUGAGCCGAUGUCGGAUUAGCUAGUUGGCGGGGUAAAGGCCCACCAAGGCGACGAUCCGUAGUUGGUCUGAGAGGAUAAACACCCACCGUGGAAAGGAGACACGGUCCAGUCUCCUACGGGAGUCACCAGUGGGGAAUAUUGGACAACGGUCGCAAGCCUGAUCGAGCCCUACCGCGUGGGUGAAGAAGGCCUUCGGGUUGUAAAGCCCUUUUGUUGGGAAAGAAAAGCAGCAGGUUAAUACCCCGCUGUUCUGACGGUACCCAAAGAAUAAGCACCGGCUAACUUCGUG
RNAcentral lists this ribosomal RNA (492 nucleotides) under uncultured bacterium. RNAcentral's name for it is "partial 16S ribosomal RNA". It matches the Rfam family "Bacterial small subunit ribosomal RNA", at positions 29 to 507 of the family's 1533-position model. The record is from RNAcentral.